UGCAGGGUAUAGACCCGAAACCCGGUGAUCUAGCCAUGGGCAGGUUGAAGGUUGGGUAACACUAACUGGAGGACCGAACCGACUAAUGUUGAAAAAUUAGCGGAUGACUUGUGGCUGGGGGUGAAAGGCCAAUCAAACCGGGAGAUAGCUGGUUCUCCCCGAAAGCUAUUUAGGUAGCGCCUCGUGAAUUCAUCUCCGGGGGUAGAGCACUGUUUCGGCAAGGGGGUCAUCCCGACUUACCAACCCGAUGCAAACUGCGAAUACCGGAGAAUGUUAUCACGGGAGACACACGGCGGGUGCUAACGUCCGUCGUGAAGAGGGAAACAACCCAGACCGCCAGCUAAGGUCCCAAAGUCAUGGUUAAGUGGGAAACGAUGUGGGAAGGCCCAGACAGCCAGGAUGUUGGCUUAGAAGCAGCCAUCAUUUAAAGAAAGCGUAAUAGCUCACUGGUCGAGUCGGCCUGCGCGGAAGAUGUAACGGGGCUAAACCAUGCACCGAAGCUGCGGCAGCGACGCUGAUGCGUUGUUGGGUAGGGGAGCGUUCUGUAAGCCUGUGAAGGUGUGCUGUGAGGCAUGCUGGAGGUAUCAGAAGUGCGAAUGCUGACAUAAGUAACGAUAAAGCGGGUGAAAAGCCCGCUCGCCGGAAGACCAAGGGUUCCUGUCCAACGUUAAUCGGGGCAGGGUGAGUCGACCCCUAAGGCGAGGCCGAAAGGCGUAGUCGAUGGGAAACAGGUUAAUAUUCCUGUACUUGGUGUUACUGCGAAGGGGGGACGGAGAAGGCUAUGUUGGCCGGGCGACGGUUGUCCCGGUUUAAGCGUGUAGGCUGGUUUUCCAGGCAAAUCCGGAAAAUCAAGGCUGAGGCGUGAUGACGAGGCACUACGGUGCUGAAGCAACAAAUGCCCUGCUUCCAGGAAAAGCCUCUAAGCAUCAGGUAACAUCAAAUCGUACCCCAAACCGACACAGGUGGUCAGGUAGAGAAUACCAAGGCGCUUGAGAGAACUCGGGUGAAGGAACUAGGCAAAAUGGUGCCGUAACUUCGGGAGAAGGCACGCUGAUAUGUAGGUGAAGUCCCUCGCGGAUGGAGCUGAAAUCAGUCGAAGAUACCAGCUGGCUGCAACUGUUUAUUAAAAACACAGCACUGUGCAAACACGAAAGUGGACGUAUACGGUGUGACGCCUGCCCGGUGCCGGAAGGUUAAUUGAUGGGGUCAGCGCAAGCGAAGCUCUUGAUCGAAGCCCCGGUAAACGGCGGCCGUAACUAUAACGGUCCUAAGGUAGCGAAAUUCCUUGUCGGGUAAGUUCCGACCUGCACGAAUGGCGUAAUGAUGGCCAGGCUGUCUCCACCCGAGACUCAGUGAAAUUGAACUCGCUGUGAAGAUGCAGUGUACCCGCGGCAAGACGGAAAGACCCCGUGAACCUUUACUAUAGCUUGACACUGAACAUUGAGCCUUGAUGUGUAGGAUAGGUGGGAGGCUUUGAAGUGUGGACGCCAGUCUGCAUGGAGCCGACCUUGAAAUACCACCCUU
Molecule: ribosomal RNA, 1524 nt
Filed under: Escherichia coli
Lineage: Bacteria; Pseudomonadati; Pseudomonadota; Gammaproteobacteria; Enterobacterales; Enterobacteriaceae
Description: partial 23S ribosomal RNA
Rfam family: Bacterial large subunit ribosomal RNA
Source: RNAcentral